Molecule: ribosomal RNA, 1347 nt
Filed under: uncultured bacterium
Lineage: Bacteria
Description: bacterial SSU rRNA
Rfam family: Bacterial small subunit ribosomal RNA
Source: RNAcentral
GACGAGCGCUGGCGGCGUGCUUAACACGUGCGAGUCGAGCGAGGAGGCCGAGCUUGCUAGGUGGAUGAGUGGCGAACGGGGGAGUAAUACGUGAGUAACCUACCUUGAACUCUGGGAUAAGCCUGGGAAACUGGGGCUAAUACCGGAUACGACCAAUCUCCGCAUGGGGUGUUGGUGGAAAGCGUUAUGUAGUGGUUAUAGAUGGGCUCACGGCCUAUCAGCUUGUUGGUGAGGUAACGGCUCACCAAGGCGACGACGGGUAGCCGGCCUGAGAGGGUGACCGGCCACACUGGGACUGAGACACGGCCCAGACUCCUACGGGAGGCAGCAGUGGGGAAUAUUGCACAAUGGGCGCAAGCCUGAUGCAGCGACGCCGCGUGAGGGAUGACGGCCUUCGGGUUGUAAACCUCUGUUAGCAGGGAAGAAGAGAAAUUGACGGUACCUGCAGAGAAAGCGCCGGCUAACUACGUGCCAGCAGCCGCGGUAAUACGUAGGGCGCGAGCGUUGUCCGGAAUUAUUGGGCGUAAAGAGCUUGUAGGCGGUUUGUCGCGUCUGCUGUGAAGGCCGGGGCUUAACCCCGUGUAUUGCAGUGGGUACGGGCAGACUAGAGUGCAGUAGGGGAGACUGGAAUUCCUGGUGUAGCGGUGGAAUGCGCAGAUAUCAGGAGGAACACCGAUGGCGAAGGCAGGUCUCUGGGCUGUAACUGACGCUGAGAAGCGAAAGCAUGGGGAGCGAACAGGAUUAGAUACCCUGGUAGUCCAUGCCGUAAACGUUGGGCACUAGGUGUGGGGGACAUUCCACGUUUUCCGCGCCGUAGCUAACGCAUUAAGUGCCCCGCCUGGGGAGUACGGCCGCAAGGCUAAAACUCAAAGAAAUUGACGGGGGCCCGCACAAGCGGCGGAGCAUGCGGAUUAAUUCGAUGCAACGCGAAGAACCUUACCAAGGCUUGACAUAUACUGGACCGCAUCAGAGAUGGUGUUUCCCUUCGGGGCUGGUAUACAGGUGGUGCAUGGUUGUCGUCAGCUCGUGUCGUGAGAUGUUGGGUUAAGUCCCGCAACGAGCGCAACCCUCGUUCUAUGUUGCCAGCACGUUAUGGUGGGGACUCAUAGGAGACUGCCGGGGUCAACUCGGAGGAAGGUGGGGAUGACGUCAAAUUAUCAUGCCCCUUAUGUCUUGGGCUUCACGCAUGCUACAAUGGCCGGUACAGAGGGUUGCGAUACUGUGAGGUGGAGCUAAUCCCUAAAAGCCGGUCUCAGUUCGGAUUGGGGUCUGCAACUCGACCCCAUGAAGUCGGAGUCGCUAGUAAUCGCAGAUCAGCAACGCUGCGGUGAAUACGUUCCCGGGCCU